RNAcentral lists this transfer RNA (58 nucleotides) under Junonia villida. RNAcentral describes it as "tRNA-Cys". Lineage: Eukaryota; Metazoa; Arthropoda; Insecta; Lepidoptera; Nymphalidae. The record is from RNAcentral.
UUAUAUUCAAUAAUGAUAUGAAAUUGCAAAUUUUAAGGUGUAAAAUAUACUAAGGCUU